RNAcentral lists this ribosomal RNA (253 nucleotides) under uncultured bacterium. Its description in RNAcentral is "partial 16S ribosomal RNA". It matches the Rfam family "Bacterial small subunit ribosomal RNA", at positions 524 to 776 of the family's 1533-position model. The record is from RNAcentral.
UACGGAGGGGGCUAGCGUUGCUCGGAAUCACUGGGCGUAAAGGGCGCGUAGGCGGAUCUUUAAGUCGGGGGUGAAAGCCCAGGGCUCAACCCUGGAAUUGCCUUCGAUACUGAAGAUCUCGAGACCGGAAGAGGUAAGUGGAACUGCGAGUGUAGAGGUGAAAUUCGUAGAUAUUCGCAAGAACACCAGUGGCGAAGGCGGCUUACUGGUCCGGUUCUGACGCUGAGGCGCGAAAGCGUGGGGAGCAAACAGG